CCGGGAUUGGUUUAACGGUAGAAUCUACGGUUCGGGACCGUAGGACGGAAGUUCGACUCUUCCAUCCCGGA
RNAcentral lists this transfer RNA (71 nucleotides) under Candidatus Staskawiczbacteria bacterium RIFOXYB1_FULL_32_11. RNAcentral's name for it is "tRNA-Pro". It matches the Rfam family "tRNA". From Rfam's summary of the family: Transfer RNA (tRNA) molecules are approximately 80 nucleotides in length. Their secondary structure includes four short double-helical elements and three loops (D, anti-codon, and T loops). RNAcentral also lists the same sequence under 2 other names. Lineage: Bacteria; Candidatus Staskawicziibacteriota. The record is from RNAcentral.